RNAcentral lists this ribosomal RNA (870 nucleotides) under Staphylococcus warneri. Its description in RNAcentral is "bacterial SSU rRNA". It matches the Rfam family "Bacterial small subunit ribosomal RNA", at positions 86 to 946 of the family's 1533-position model. Lineage: Bacteria; Bacillati; Bacillota; Bacilli; Caryophanales; Staphylococcaceae. The record is from RNAcentral.
CGAGGCGUGAAGGGGGAGGGGGGAAAGGGAUACGUUCUGAAGAGUGGGAAACUGAAGAAAAAGAGGAGCUAUACCGGAUACAUAUUGAACCGCAUGGUUCAAUAGUGAAAGGCGGCUUUGCUGUCACUUAUAGAUGGAUCCGCGCCGUAUUAGCUAGUUGGUAAGGUAACGGCUUACCAAGGCAACGAUACGUAGCCGACCUGAGAGGGUGAUCGGCCACACUGGAACUGAGACACGGUCCAGACUCCUACGGGAGGCAGCAGUAGGGAAUCUUCCGCAAUGGGCGAAAGCCUGACGGAGCAACGCCGCGUGAGUGAUGAAGGUCUUCGGAUCGUAAAACUCUGUUAUCAGGGAAGAACAAAUGUGUAAGUAACUGUGCACAUCUUGACGGUACCUGAUCAGAAAGCCACGGCUAACUACGUGCCAGCAGCCGCGGUAAUACGUAGGUGGCAAGCGUUAUCCGGAAUUAUUGGGCGUAAAGCGCGCGUAGGCGGUUUUUUAAGUCUGAUGUGAAAGCCCACGGCUCAACCGUGGAGGGUCAUUGGAAACUGGAAAACUUGAGUGCAGAAGAGGAAAGUGGAAUUCCAUGUGUAGCGGUGAAAUGCGCAGAGAUAUGGAGGAACACCAGUGGCGAAGGCGACUUUCUGGUCUGUAACUGACGCUGAUGUGCGAAAGCGUGGGGAUCAAACAGGAUUAGAUACCCUGGUAGUCCACGCCGUAAACGAUGAGUGCUAAGUGUUAGGGGGUUUCCGCCCCUUAGUGCUGCAGCUAACGCAUUAAGCACUCCGCCUGGGGAGUACGACCGCAAGGUUGAAACUCAAAGGAAAUUGACGGGGACCCCGCCAACAAGCCGGGUGGGAGCAUGGUGGU